Molecule: ribosomal RNA, 1469 nt
Filed under: metagenome
Description: SSU rRNA
Rfam family: Eukaryotic small subunit ribosomal RNA
Source: RNAcentral
GGACUACCAUGGUUAUAACGGGUAACGGGGAAUUAGGGUUCGAUUCCGGAGAGGGGGCCUGAGAGAUGGCCACCACUUCCAAGGAAGGCAGCAGGCGCGCAAAUUACCCAAUCCCAAUUCGGGGAGGUAGUGACAAGAAAUACCAGUACAGGGCUCGAUGAGUACUGUGAUUGGAAUGAAUACAAUUUAAAAACCUUAAUGAGGAGCGAUUGGAGGGCAAGUCUGGUGCCAGCAGCCGCGGUAAUUCCAGCUCCAAUAGUGUAUAUUAAAGUUGCUGCAGUUAAAAAGCUCGUAGUUGGAUUUUGAAUUAUAAAAAUUUAACAUUCAUCUUUUAGAUGUGAUUUAAUUUUUAUAUUCUUCCUUUUGAUACGCUCCAUCAAAUUAUAUUUUUUGGAUUUAAGUGUUUCAAAUUGUUUACUGUGAAAAAAUUAGAGUGUUCAAAGCAGGCGUAACCUAGCCUUUGAAUAUAUUAGCAUGGGAUAAUGAAAUAGGACUUUAAUCCUACUUUCGUUGGUUUCUAGGGCUAAAGUAAUGAUUAAUAGGGAUAGUUGGGGUCACUAGUAUUUAAUUGUCAGAGGUGAAAUUCUAAGAUUUAUUAAAGACUAACUACUGCGAAAGCAUUUGACAAGGAUGUUUUCAUUAAUCAAGAACGAAAGUUGGGGGAUCGAAGAUGAUCGGAUACCGUCUAGUCUCAACCAUAAACUAUGCCGACCAAGUAUCCGAGGUUGUUAAUAUGGAUGACUCUUCGGGCACUUAUAGAGAAAUCAUAAGUAUUUGGGCUCCGGGGGGAGUAUGGUCGCAAGGCUGAAACUUAAAGGAAUUGACGGAAGGGCACCACAAGGAGUGGAACCUGCGGUUUAAUUUGACGCAACACGGGAAAACUUACCAGGUCCAGACACAGUGAGGAUUGACAGAUUGAGAGUUCUUUCUUGAUUCUGUGAGUGGUGGUGCAUGGCCGUUUCUAGUUGGUGGAGUGAUUUGUCUGGUUAAUUCCGUUAACGAACGAGACCUUAACCUAUUAAAUAGUUAUUUGAACUUGAUUUUUAAAAUCAAAUGUUUAAAAAACUUCUUAGAGGGACUCUUCACUGAGAGAGUGAAUGGAAGUUUGAGGCAAAAACAGGUCUGUGAUGCCCUUAGAUGUUCUGGGCCACACGCGCGUUACACUGACAUAUUCAACGAGCAUUAUCCUUACCCGUCGGGGUUGGGUAAUCUUUUAAAUGUAUGUCGUGCUGGGGAUAGAUCAUUGUAAUUAUUGGUCUUGAACGAGGAAUUCCUAGUAAGUGCGAGUCAUCAACUCGCGCUGAUUACGUCCCUGCCCUUUGUACACACCGCCCGUCGCUCCUACCGAUUGAAUGGUCCGGCGAGAACUCAGGAUGGAUAUGGAUUUUGGACACCGUUAGGUGUUCCAACCAUAUCCAGAAUUUGUUCAAACCUUACCAUUUAGAGGAAGGAGAAGUCGUAACAAGGUU